RNAcentral lists this ribosomal RNA (466 nucleotides) under uncultured bacterium. RNAcentral describes it as "bacterial SSU rRNA". It matches the Rfam family "Bacterial small subunit ribosomal RNA", at positions 28 to 507 of the family's 1533-position model. The record is from RNAcentral.
GACGAACGCUGGCGGCGUGCUUAACACAUGCAAGUCGAACGGUGACGAGGAGCUUGCUCCUCUGAUCAGUGGCGAACGGGUGAGUAACACGUGAGCAACCUGCCCCAAAGCGGGGGAUAGCCCACCGAAAGGUGGAUUAAUACCGCAUGUGGCCGUUCCGGGGCAUCCCGGGACGAUUAAAGCAGCAAUGCGCUUUGGGAUGGGCUCGCGGCCUAUCAGCUUGUUGGUGGGGUAACGGCCUACCAAGGCUACGACGGGUAGCUGGUCUGAGAGGAUGGUCAGCCGGAUUGGGACUGAGACACGGCCCAGACUCCUACGGGGGGCAGCAAUUAGGAAUCUUGCGCAAUGGGCGAAAGCCUGACGCAGCGACGCCGCGUGACCGACGAAGUCCUUCGGGAUGUAAAGGUCUUUUGCCAGGGAAGAAGAUCUGACGGUACCUGGCGAAUAAGCCCCGGCUAACUACGUG